UGAGGAACAUGACCUUUGGCGGGGGAUAGCCGGCCCAACGGCCGGGUAAUACCGCGUACGACCACUUUGGGACAUCCCUAGGUGGUGAAGGCAGCAAUGCGCCGAUGGAGUGCCUCGCGGCCUAUCAGCUAGUUGGUGAGGUAACGGCUCACCAAGGCGACGACGGGUAGCUGGUCUGAGAGGAUGGCCAGCCACAUUGGGACUGAGAUACGGUCCAGACUCCUACGGGAGCAG
This 234-nucleotide ribosomal RNA is filed under the name uncultured bacterium. Its description in RNAcentral is "partial 16S ribosomal RNA". It matches the Rfam family "Bacterial small subunit ribosomal RNA", at positions 118 to 347 of the family's 1533-position model. The record is from RNAcentral.